RNAcentral lists this ribosomal RNA (429 nucleotides) under Gemmatimonadota bacterium. RNAcentral's name for it is "Gemmatimonadetes bacterium partial 16S ribosomal RNA". It matches the Rfam family "Bacterial small subunit ribosomal RNA", at positions 355 to 776 of the family's 1533-position model. The record is from RNAcentral. Lineage: Bacteria; Pseudomonadati; Gemmatimonadota.
UUGGGAAUCUUCGGCAAUGGACGAAAGUCUGACCGAGCAACGCCGCGUGAGUGAAGAAGGUUUUCGGAUCGUAAAACUCUGUUGUUAGAGAAGAACAAGGACGUUAGUAACUGAACGUCCCCUGACGGUAUCUAACCAGAAAGCCACGGCUAACUACGUGCCAGCAGCCGCGGUAAUACGUAGGUGGCAAGCGUUGUCCGGAUUUAUUGGGCGUAAAGCGAGCGCAGUCGGUUUCUUAAGUCUGAUGUGAAAGCCCCCGGCGCAACCGGGGAGGGUCAUUGGAAACUGGGAGACUUGAGUGCAGAAGAGGAGAGUGGAAUUUCAUGUGUAGCGGUGAAAUGCGUAGAUAUAUGGAGGAACACCAGUGGCGAAGGCGGCUCUCUGGUCAGUAACUGACGCUGAGGCUCGAAAGCGUGGGGAGCGAACAGG